RNAcentral lists this ribosomal RNA (3497 nucleotides) under Erysiphe necator (grape powdery mildew). RNAcentral describes it as "large subunit ribosomal RNA". It matches the Rfam family "Bacterial large subunit ribosomal RNA". Lineage: Eukaryota; Fungi; Ascomycota; Leotiomycetes; Helotiales; Erysiphaceae. The record is from RNAcentral.
UAUAUAGUAGUAGUAUGUAUGAUAUUUACAAUUUAUUUUUUAUUACUAUUUUAGUAAUGUAUAUAAAGAGACUAUUAAGGAGGGCUAGCUAUAUAUUAAAGAGAUUAAUUUGUGUUUGUUAUUUAAUUAUUUUACACAUGCACUCUUAGAGAAAUUCAAUAAUAAACGAAGUGAAUUGAAAUAUCUUAGUAACUUUAGGAAAAGAAAUCAAACGAGAUUCUAUGAUUAGUGUGAAUGAAAAUAGAAAAGCCUAUUUAUAUUUAAAUAAAUAAAAAAAAUUUAUAUUUAUAUUGUAUUAUAUUUUUUUUAAUAGAUAUAUUAAAUAAGUAAAACGGGUAUAACCUCCUGUUUGAAUACGUCAAAUAAUAUAUUAUUUAUAAUUGUCUAGGCUUAGCCUUCUACAAUUAUUUGACAAAGGGGAACCUUCCUCUAAGGCUAAAUAUAAUAUAUAAGCGAUAGCGUAUAGUACUGUGAAGGAAAGGUUUGAAUUAGUAGUCUUAUAAGCAGCUAAUGCUUUAUUUAAUUAAAAAGUAAUAGCGUACCUUUUGCAUAAUGGGUCAGUAAGUUAAUAUUAGAUGCGAGCAUUCGUGCCCAGAUAAACCAAUUAUGAAUUAAUGAAUUAGUAUCUAAAAUUAGACCCGAAAGCCAGUGAUCUUACCAUAGUCAGGAUUAUAAAAGUCCGAACGGGUUAUCGUUGUAUAGAUAUCCGAUGAACUGUGGUAAGUAAGUGAAAGACAACACUGACUGGUAUAGCUGGUUUUCUGCGAAACCUAUAAAAGUAGGUAAUUUAAGUAACAUCAUAGCAGGUACAGAACUGUGUUCUCAGGCAACUUAUAUUUUGAGAUUAAAGAAAUUUGCUCUCAUUUUAUUUUUUGCAUAUAUCGGGCAAUCGUGAAGAUUUUAUCGGUGAGUAAUCGCACUCGGAAUGGUUAUGAUCUUUAUUAAAUAAUCGGACAUAGUACGCUAAGGUUGUAUGUCUAAAGGGAAACAGCCCAGAACAAGAGUUAAGGUUCCAAAAUUAUUGUUAAGUGAAAUUAAGGAUGUUUAGUUAAAAUACGGCCAGGAAAUUGGCUUAGAAGCGGCUCAUUUUUUAAAGAUCUCGUAAUAGAGCACUGGUUUAGUAUAUUAUUUACAUUAAUUUGAGCACCGAAGAUUUAACGGAUCUAAACAAUAUACCGACACCUUGUCCAUAGGUAUAAAUAAUUAAAAACCAGUUCUAGAUUUAGUAAUUAUUUUUCUUUAGUUCUUGUUUAAUUAAUCAAAGAUUAAUUAAAAAAAUGAACCAAGGGAUUAAAAAUAAAAAUUCACUUUUUAUAUUAUUAAUUAACGAAUCUUUAGCCUGGGGGUCCAUACCAAAAUAUAAUAUCUUAUUUAUAUUUAUGGGGUAGCAGAACGUUGGGUAAAUCCAAAUGGUUACUUUUAUUGUUUUUAAUAAUAAAUAUAUGAUAACCCAAGUGAUAAUGCUGACAUGAGUAACGAAAAAGGGGAUAUACCCUCGCCUAAAGCUUAUGGUAUUUUUUUGUAAGUAACGGCCUCUAAGUUUACCAACCUAAAGGAUUAAACGAUGAGAAAAUCUUUUAGUUCAUUAGUAACAACCUUCCUUCUUAUAUGUUUUAUUAUAGAAACUUUAUAAGAAAAGUUGAGGGAGGUUCUGGAAAAACCGUGACCUAUCUUUAAUUAAGAUAAAAACCGUACCUAAAUACCACCGACGGUAAGCUAGUAGAGAAUACGAAGGCGUUUGAGUGAACAAUCCUUAAGGAACUCGGCAAACUAACUACCGUAACUUCGGAAUAAGGAGUGCCAUUCCUCUUCAUUAAUAUGAGGUAAAGAAUAGGAAGCAUGGAAUAGUGUUGUACGACUGUUUAAUUAAAACAAAGCACUCCGCAAUAAGAUAAUAAAUCAAAGUAUUGAGUGUGAUUUCUGCCCGAUGUCGGCCGGUUAACGGAUUUUCUUAGUUGACUAAUAUAAGCUAGGUUUUGAAGGAAACCCCGAUGAAUGGCGGCCUUACCUAUGAGGGUCCUAAGGUAGCGAAAUACCUUGGCCGUUAAAUGCGGUCUUGCAUGAAUGAUUUAACGAUACAACAGCUGUCUCAAGGAUUGGCUCAGUGAAAUUGGAAUAACAGUGGCAGAUACUGUUUACCUCUAGAUAGACGAGAAGACCCUAUGCAGCUUUACUGUUACUAGUUAUUAGAUAUGAUAAACAGCAUUUUUAGUGCAUAAGGUAGGUCUUAAUUUACUUGACCGAAAUUGAAACACCUUUAUUUAGUUUUUCAUAUUGGUAAAUAUAAUUUACGUGAUUUUUAUAUAAUCAUUUCCUAACCUUCGGAGAGGAACGAUGACUAGGAGGCAGUUUAUGCGGGGCACAGAUCCCAUAAAAAGUACCUGGGUGUAUCCAAAGUUAAUUUUGUAAAUUUGUUAUAAUUUAGUUAUAACAACAUCUACUGCCUUUUUUUUUUUGGCUCCGCAUGUUCCGCAUUCGUAGGGGGGGGGGGCGUAGGGCGUAGGAUACAAAAAAAAAUAGGUUAAGUUUUUGUUUUUUAGUUUGUUAUUAGAGAUAGCUUGAGCUAGAUCCAAUCCACCUAUAUAUCUAUUGAGUUAGAACUAAUUUUUUUAAUCAAGUAAGAUUUUAUCUAUAUUGAAAAUAGAUGUAUACUAUGUUGUUAAUAUUUUAGCCGUUACGCGGAUUUAUAUUUAUUUAUAUCAUAGUUAUAUUAUUGGUCUUGCAAGGCCGAAAAGCUGGAUUCUUGUGCUGCAUGCAGCUUAGGAAGAUAGAGCAAUAAUAUAAUAAUUACUUGUCAAGUUUAAUGGCUUAAUCUUGCUUUACUGUUUGAUUUACACGUCUAUCAGUCGCGUAAGCGGGGCAUAUGAUCACAAGAUGCCGAAAGGAAAGGUCUUGGGUUUUUGAAAAAGCUACGCUAGGGAUAACAGGCUAAUUGCGCCAGGAAGUACAAAUUGAGUGCGCAGUUUGGCACCUCGAUGUCGGCUUAACUUAUCCACAUGAACGCAGGAAUCAUGAAGGGUUCGACUGUUCGUCGAUUAAUAAGUUACACGAGCUGGGUUAAAUACGUUGUAAAACAGUAUGGUUUCUAUCUUCUAGAGGAAAUUAGAAUAAAAUAAAGAUAUAUCCCUCGUACGAAAGGAGCUGGGUAUAUUAACCUAUGGUUUACCUGUUGUUUAUGUGCCCAAUAUUAAAGAAGUCAAAUUUGGCCCUAUAAAGCCCCUCCUAAAUAAGGCCUGCUGGCUUUUAGACAGACAUGAGUCCUUUUUAGAAGGAGGCCACAAGGAUGUUACUAACACUUUAGUAGAUAUAUAACAUAGGCACGGCAGGAACGCUAUGUUAGUUUAAAUAAGUGCUGAAAGCAUAUAGGCACGAAGUUUACUUUAAUAUAUUCUUAAAUAUACGUCAGAUAAUAAGACGAAUUUUUUUUUUGGAUAAAUAGAUAAAAUAAAGGUUAAAAACCUCAAGGGGAGCAGAUCUUCGAGAGGGUAAGUGUUAUU